RNAcentral lists this ribosomal RNA (451 nucleotides) under uncultured bacterium. Its description in RNAcentral is "partial 16S ribosomal RNA". It matches the Rfam family "Bacterial small subunit ribosomal RNA", at positions 29 to 523 of the family's 1533-position model. The record is from RNAcentral.
AGCGAACGCUGGCGGCAGGCUUAACACAUGCAAGUCGAGCGGGCAUCUUCGGGUGUCAGCGGCGGACGGGUGAGUAACGCGUGGGAACGUGCCUUCUGGUUCGGAAUAACUCAGGGAAACUUGAGCUAAUACCGGAUACGCCCUUUUGGGGAAAGGUUUACUGCCGGAAGAUCGGCCCGCGUCUGAUUAGCUAGUUGGUGGGGUAACGGCCUACCAAGGCGACGAUCAGUAGCUGGUCUGAGAGGAUGAUCAGCCACACUGGGACUGAGACACGGCCCAGACUCCUACGGGAGGCAGCAGUGGGGAAUAUUGGACAAUGGGGGCAACCCUGAUCCAGCCAUGCCGCGUGAGUGAUGAAGGCCUUAGGGUUGUAAAGCUCUUUUAUCCGGGACGAUAAUGACGGUACCGGAGGAAUAAGCCCCGGCUAACUUCGUGCCAGCCGCCGCAGUAA